RNAcentral lists this transfer RNA (75 nucleotides) under Candidatus Yanofskybacteria bacterium RIFCSPHIGHO2_01_FULL_48_25b. RNAcentral describes it as "tRNA-Asn". It matches the Rfam family "tRNA". From Rfam's summary of the family: Transfer RNA (tRNA) molecules are approximately 80 nucleotides in length. Their secondary structure includes four short double-helical elements and three loops (D, anti-codon, and T loops). Lineage: Bacteria; Candidatus Yanofskyibacteriota. The record is from RNAcentral.
UCCGCGGUAGCUCAAUGGUAGAGCGGCGCCCUGUUAAGGCGAUGGUUCUAGGUUCGAGUCCUAGCCGCGGAGCAA